AAAUUUAGAGAAAACCGGUGUGGCUGCUGAUAGCCUAAACCCUAAAACCCCACCGCUGUUCGCGUCCUCGUUUCUCUCAAUCUCUCUCCUCUCCUCGCCUCUCCUUGGUGUCCGUGUUCACGCCGUCGCUAGCGCCUGCCGCGGCGAAGCUUCUGCCCUCCCCGGCGCCGGGCUCGGGUCGUCGUCGGCCAGGCAGCUGCUACGCGUGAACACGGUCACACCAGUACCACGUGACGUGAACGGUGAACUCGUGAAGAACAGAGCCGCCACUGAGGAACCCUAGCGACGGCGGCGUGCUACCGGUGACAUUGUCCCCCUCGGUCCCUCCUCCAUCCCCGACGCAGCGGCGCCAGCCUGCAGGAAGCCUAUUCGAGACAAGGUCGAUCUUUGCUGCCUUGGCGAGCUUCAGCCGAAUCAAGGUCGAGCAUGGCGGCAGGCCAGUAAAUAGAGCAACACAAAACCCUUCAAAUCAAUGGAGACCUCUGCAGCAACCCCGACCCGGCCGCCACACCAGGCGGCCACUUCCCCAUCGCCAUCGCCCUCGUCGUCGUUGAGGCUGUGGAGGCCAGCGGCGCAGCGCAACAUGCGCAAUCAGUGGUCCCAUCUGAGCGCCGCCAAGGAGCAGUGGCUGGCCGCCGUUGCUGACGGUCGUGCCCACGCCUCCGCGCUCGUCAACGUCCACCUCUCCUGCAGGAACAUGCCGGCGAUGGAUUUGGGGGUGCUCAAGGAUAUGCCGGGGAUCCGCGAUAAGGCGAACUCCAAGUUGGCGCUUAGAGAGGAGCAAUACAGCGGCAUGCUUCUGUCGGCCUACAAGGAGAUGGUCUGUCAGCUGUCCUACUUGGUUGAAGCUUCCCAUUCUAUGCGCUGUUUUUCUAAAGCGGCUCCAAAUUGCUCCAUCACACAGUUUUCUGACCGCCAAGAUAAUUUGAAUGAUUCAGGGGAUGGUGGAGGAGCCCCAGUAUUCAAAUGGUUCUCCGUAUUAGAAUUUGAGAGUCUUGCCCAGGAGCUUGUUCAGAUGUUUGUUUCAGAGCAAAAGUUGAAGAGGCUGCUACUCUUGGAAUUUCUCUCGAUUGCUUUAAAGGAAGGUGUAGAACUCCAGACAUCAUUAAAUUGGGGUGAUGAACUAUAUGAUGGUGAAUCAAAUAAACUUCAGAGUAUUGGCCUUCAGUCAGGAGAUGCCUACUCACCGCCUGAAAAUUGGUGUGCAGAACGUUUAGGGAGUCAGAGACCUGGCAAUCUCCCUCUGCAUGAAGUUUUACAGGUUUAUUUAACCACUUGGCAUGCUAAUAUGAACAUCAACCGGAGUAGAAUUGGUGAAAUAUUUGAGCUUGUUGAGGAGGAGAUGAAGAUUAAACUGUCUUGAAGAUUCCGAUUCAUUUUGUUGGGCUAUCCAUCAAGGAAGAAGAAAUGGAAAAGAAAGAUCAAUCAGUUCACUAUUCACCAGGAUUCUAUAUCCAGUGUCUUUAUCUGCCUUAGUAGAAGCCUUCAGAGCUUACCUAUGAUCUUAGAAUAUAGUACUGGUCUCCUUGUGACCCAUAAUUUUUUUAAAAAAUUUAAUGUUGGGUUACACUGGAAUCAUAUUGGGAAGAGCGUUGGACCAACAUAUGUUAUUGAAAUGAGAUUUCUAAGUUAUCAGGAUCAUUCGCCUAGCUUCAGGGUUUAGAUGGGCGUCGAGGCAGCAAUCGAGGCAAGGAGGAGGCGGGGGUGGGGGAUGCUACACCGACCGUGACGUCGCCUACUGUCUUGGACCUUCUGUGCGCCCUCCUUGACACCCUCGACGCUCCACGGAGCUCGGAGGCGGUGACCGUCGAGGAGGUCGGUCCCUCGAGGCGACCCGGGGAACCGGUUGAAAAGUACAUCAUCCCGCCUCCUAUCGUUGGGGCGGGUGGCGACCUCGUUCGUGCCGGAUCGGACCUCUCGACAUGGGGAGGGCCGACCCUGAGGUGGAUGGCCACCGAGGGCAACCCCUACUUCGUCCUUAAUGACACGGAGGAGAGGGAGAUGUGGGCGGAGUUUCGAGCAAUGGCUCAGGGGCUUAUGGCGAAGUCCGUGGCCAAGUCGAUCUCCAUCCGCAGCGAGCGCGACAUAUGGGCCGUGCUGCAGCGCUAUCAGGCCAUGUUGUGUUGCGCAAACGAGUAGCUGACGCUGAAGAGGGCCGAGGCGGCGAACCUAUCGUCGUUGUGUGCUGAGUUGAAAGACGAGGUCGCGACUGAGCGCGAGAAGGUGUCGUCGCUGGAGGAGGAGGUGCGACGCCUGAGAUAAGGCCUUCGGGUGGUGACUGGUGAACGAGACGAGUCUCGGCAUCAAGCCACCGAGGCUUCUCUUCAAGCUGACUCUCACGAAGGACCUGGGGGCCGAGUGGAGUACGGUCCAAGGCCUAAGGGCCUAAAUGGGAGAGCUCGAAAGGGAUUUGGAUGCUGCCAUUCACACCUCUAAAACUCACCCAGGCCGUCGACCAAAAGAUGGUCGAGCUGAAGGACCUGUCCGACGCGGUGGUGGAGUUUGGUCGAGACCUUUGCGUCGCGGACGUUCCCUUGGGUGAGUACUUGCGGAGCCGCAUGCGAGCCCUGAGUGGCUACGUGCGGAGCGAACUCCGUGAGGCCGUCCAUCUUGGGGUGAAGCAAGUGUUGGUCGUAGUCGCCUCCCACUAUGAGAUUAAUCUCGAGCGGGCAUGCGAAGGCUACGUCUUGUUGGACGAGCGCAACCUCGCCGAGGCCGAGAUGCAGAGGCUCACCGAUGUUGUCGAGGGGUCGGGCUCAGUGUAACACCCCGUCCAAUCCCGGACCGGCGGUACUUACUCCUGGCAGCUCUCUAGGAUCAUUUAUCAUCCACACAAACCAACAUGGGUCUUUUGUG
Molecule: RNA transcript, 2856 nt
Organism: Zea mays
Lineage: Eukaryota; Viridiplantae; Streptophyta; Magnoliopsida; Poales; Poaceae
Exons: 13
Source: RefSeq, marked validated